RNAcentral lists this ribosomal RNA (489 nucleotides) under Planococcus sp. (in: firmicutes). RNAcentral describes it as "bacterial SSU rRNA". It matches the Rfam family "Bacterial small subunit ribosomal RNA", at positions 97 to 573 of the family's 1533-position model. The record is from RNAcentral. Lineage: Bacteria; Bacillati; Bacillota; Bacilli; Caryophanales; Caryophanaceae.
GGCGGACGGGUGAGUAACACGUGGGCAACCUGCCCUGCAGAUCGGGAUAACUCCGGGAAACCGGUGCUAAUACCGAAUAGUUUGCAGCCUCUCCUGAGGCUGCACGGAAAGACGGUUUCGGCUGUCACUGCAGGAUGGGCCCGCGGCGCAUUAGCUAGUUGGUGGGGUAAUGGCCUACCAAGGCGACGAUGCGUAGCCGACCUGAGAGGGUGAUCGGCCACACUGGGACUGAGACACGGCCCAGACUCCUACGGGAGGCAGCAGUAGGGAAUCUUCCGCAAUGGACGAAAGUCUGACGGAGCAACGCCGCGUGAGUGACGAAGGUUUUCGGAUCGUAAAACUCUGUUGUGAGGGAAGAACACGUACCAGCUAACUACUGGUACCUUGACGGUACCUCACCAGAAAGCCACGGCUAACUACGUGCCAGCAGCCGCGGUAAUACGUAGGUGGCAAGCGUUGUCCGGAAUUAUUGGGCGUAAAGCGCGCGCA